AUCUCGAACGGAAACGCAUGUUGCUUGGAAGACUGUUGACUUAGCUACGUCAGCUGAAGUGACAGGACUUGAUGCAUACUGGGAAUACCUGGUCGAUGUCACGGCGGAGACAUCUUAUGGUGAUUAUGGUCCUUUGAGAAGUCAGUCCGCUCGUAUAAUCAUUCGGACGGCGGAAAAUAUUCCUGGCAGUGUUCAAAACCUCGAGGUUCAAACGGAAACAGCUCUUGACAAACCAAGGCAAUUGAACGUAUCUUGGGAACCGCCAACUGAUAGAGAUCUCAACGGGAUCAUCGUGCGUUAUGAAGUCUACUGCUCAAAUCGAAAC
Molecule: long non-coding RNA, 325 nt
Organism: Dreissena polymorpha
Lineage: Eukaryota; Metazoa; Mollusca; Bivalvia; Myida; Dreissenidae
Exons: 3
Source: RefSeq, a predicted model, not a curated record